AAUCUUUCACAAUGGGCGCAAGCCUGACGGAGCAACGCCGCGUGUGUGAUGAAGGGUUUCGGCUCGUAAAACACUGUUAUAAGAGAAGAACGGCACUGAGAGUAACUGUUCAGUGUGUGACGGUAUCUUACCCGAAAGGAACGGCGAAAUACGUGCCAGCAGCCGCGGUAAUACGUAUGUUCCAGGCGUUAUCCGGAUUUAUUGGGCGUAAAGCGAGCGCAGACGGUUAUUUGAGUCUGAAGUGAAAGCCCUCAGCUCAACUGAGGAAUGGCUUUGGAAACUGGAUGACUUGAGUGCAGUAGAGGAAAGUGGAACUCCAUGUGUAGCGGUGAAAUGCGUAGAUAUAUGGAAGAACACCAGUGGCGAAGGCGGCUUUCUGGACUGUAACUGACGUUGAGGCUCGAAAGUGUGGGUAGCAAAC
Molecule: ribosomal RNA, 421 nt
Filed under: uncultured bacterium
Lineage: Bacteria
Description: bacterial SSU rRNA
Rfam family: Bacterial small subunit ribosomal RNA
Source: RNAcentral